Molecule: long non-coding RNA, 2656 nt
Organism: Dicentrarchus labrax (European seabass)
Lineage: Eukaryota; Metazoa; Chordata; Actinopteri; Moronidae
Exons: 4
Source: RefSeq, a predicted model, not a curated record
GGGCUUUGCUGCAGUGAUUCCGACAUUGCCGGAAUGGACGUUAUUGCUCGAUUAUUCCUCCAAGGAUACACGUGCAUACACCGAGGGGGUAGAGCUGUGCGUAAGAUGGGCUUUGUCCUCGCGUAGGCUGUGUGCCGGCAUCCCACAUGGUCUAAGACAGGCAGCAUCACGGAUGGAGAGAGCCGGGGAGAGAGGCUCCCAUCCCGGAUUGAGUGUAGAAAAAUAUCUCGGCCUCAUCAAAGCCUGGUGGAUUUUGAUAAUUUUGUCUUAUUUAAUAACGCAUCACUGUCCGAUUAUGGAAACUGCAGUUUCAGAUAGACUGAAUAUGAAUCUAUUGAGUGCUGACCAAAGCGCAGGCACACAGAAAUACACACACUCCAUCAGCAGGCCUGCGUCUGAACCUGGAGGACAUCAGGUCAGCAGAGACACACACCACCUCCUGCUCUGAGCAUCUAGAGGUCACAGAGCGGGUCAGAACAAGGCUUCACCACUCCAAAGUUACAGCAGGAAGAGGAGGAGGCAGUGGAGGAGGAAAAAGAGAAGCAGAGUGGGUGGAAGGAUGGAAGGAGAGAAGGAUUGAAGCAGUUCGAGGAGGUGGUUCGAAGCGGGUGAACCCAGAGCAGGUGAACACAGCUGUGGAUCGCCAUGGGCUCUCUGGCUGCCUUCCUCCUGUGGCCCCGGUGCUGCAUACAGGGGUCCCGGGGAGCCAGCAGGGGCCAGCCAAAGCUGCGGCAGAGUGGGCAGGCUAGGCCAGCCAAGCCAGGAGAGAGGCAGGUGAGGCGGGUGAGCCGAGCUCUCAUCCCCGCCGGCUAGGAGCCUCCGCGGCAGAGCGGAGCAGCGUGGAGCAGCAGAAAUCAAUACAGAGGAGAGAGGCUAGCAGAGGUUGCCCAGCACCGCCUGCAGGCCUCGGAGCCCAGGGACCAACCACAACCACUGCUCCCAGCUCCUCUCUCCAUCUCUCUUUCUAUCUUUCUCCAACAGUCCCAGCACCAGCCAGGGCCAGGGCCCUAACCCUGCAACCGCCCCACACGCAGUGUGUGUGUCAGUAGGUGCACAUGUGUGUGUAAAAUAGAGAGAAAAAGGGAGAGGGAAGAGACAGAGAGAGAGAGUCUUUGUGUGUGGUUCAGCCGGAGGGGUUUUUGCUGCGUCCAACACCACUUGAUAAAACUUUGUCAGAGAGACACGGAGACAGCGAGGGAGGGAGAGAAACGGAAGAAGAAUAAGACAGGAUGUCGAAGGUCUCUUUUCUUCCAGCUCCCUCCCCCUUAAUACUCAUUCCACCUUAACUGUUUGAAUAAGGAUCCAUCUGAGACAGUACACAGGACGUUUCUGCUCAGUGCCACUUCCAAGCACAUAGCGCGCAAUAUUCCUAAGAUCUCAUGAGCCAGGAUGAAAGGACAAUUUGAACUUUUUCUCUCAUCCACUAUAUUAGACACAACCUGUCUUUUCGCCUUAGAUUUUCUUACCUUCACUACAGCAGCUCCCAUCAGAGGAUAUGGCAGUGCUGUAUUGAUCUAUAAGGUGGAAGAGAGGAAGGCGGGCCCAGGCUUUCAUACCUCUCUCUCUCUCUCUCUGUGUGUGUGUGUGUGGAAAUAGCACCUGAAGUCCACUUACUGCUGUACAGCAGGGAUCCCAUGGCAGCACAAGUGAAUGGCUGCUAAUUGAAUGAGAGAUGAAAAGGACAGUAGUUGUACCUGUUCAGUGCCCCCCUCCUCCUGUCUGAUACUACUUGGUUUUUCAUCUGACGUUUUUCUCCUCCACGUUUACAAAAGUCCUUCACCACACAAAGAGACUCGCUCUUCAGAUGUUUUAGCAAAUUGGUGGUGACUGAAGAAAAUUGGCAAAAUCCUCAGAGAGCGGUAGAAACAUCCGGCUGAGGUCAUGUCGCAAGACAUACUGUAUAGUACAUUUGUGGACUUUAAAGGACAUUAGAGGACAGAUGAAGAGUUUUCCAUGCAUGAAAACUUAACAGAGAUUACAACGGGAUACAUACCUCUUGAUGCAGCCAGUCAGAGACGCCACCUUGGGGAUGAAAAGCAGCGAUUGAGCUUCCACCGCUGGGCCUUACUCUAACAAAGCACACACGCUGUCCAUAGCCAGUUCCUCUGAACAUGUUUAGCCUCGGCCACACAUGGAAAAUGCCACCUCUACACCUGCACGAACAGUCAGUUAGAUGCACAUCAUUAGAUAUGAUUAUCAGUUGUCUAGUCUGCGGUCUUUGUGGAUGUGGACAGGUAAGUCGGAGCCGCUUCUGAAAGGUAAGUUUAGAAGUUGAAUCAAUUUAAGAGCUGUCUGAAGUGUAAAAUGGAGCUGCCGAGCAAUAUUUCCCAAAAUUAGUUUCAUUAGAUAUGAAUUACUAUGUUUGAGACCAAUUUUAGGUCGGAGAUUGGAUGAGACCCCAAGGGGUCCUUCUUUUCACUCAGUAAUUUACAUUGAAGUAUUUGACUGGAAAAUCGUUUGACAAGAGUUUGUUUCUGUUGAAUUACUUUUCCCUUUUCUGUGGGAUAUUAUGUACACAUACAUAUUUAUACAAUAUUUUUCAUAGUGUAAUGAACUAAUUCAUCGUAAAAUGUUAAAUGGGAUUGCCAAAUGCGGAAAGUGUUGCCCUGAUAUGAUAUAUAUUUUCAAUAAAGUUGAACAAUUUGUGAAUUGAAAA